UACGUAGGUGGCAAGCGUUGUCCGGAUUUAUUGGGUUUAAAGGGUGCGUAGGCGGUCUUAUAAGUCAGUGCUGAAAUAUCCCGGCUUAACCGGGAGGGUGGCAUUGAUACUGUAGGACUUGAGUAGAGUUGAGGUUGGCGGAAUUGACGGUGUAGCGGUGAAAUGCUUAGAUAUCGUCAAGAACACCGAUAGUGAAGACAGCUAACUAAGCUCAAACUGACGCUGAGGCACGAAAGCGUGGGGAGCGAACAGG
Molecule: ribosomal RNA, 253 nt
Filed under: uncultured bacterium
Lineage: Bacteria
Description: partial 16S ribosomal RNA
Rfam family: Bacterial small subunit ribosomal RNA
Source: RNAcentral